RNAcentral lists this long non-coding RNA (839 nucleotides) under Homo sapiens (human). RNAcentral's name for it is "HSALNT0250400". Lineage: Eukaryota; Metazoa; Chordata; Mammalia; Primates; Hominidae. The record is from RNAcentral.
AAAGAGUCAACAAGUUCAAUAUUCUUUCUACAUUUUGGAGUUAUAGUUCCCACUCAGUAAGUGGGAAGUAUAAUUGUUCAACCCAAGUGCAGGAAUUGAUACAUUUUAACUGCUGAAAAUUUUGGAUGCUUGUGCUUUUUCACCAUUAUUAUUUGCAAAUUCAGUUAUGAUUGCAGAUUCAUAAGAUUCUUCAAAUUUUCAUGAGGAUGUUUAUGUCAAGUGGGAUUACAUCAAGAGAGAAGUCAGUCUACAAAACAAAAGAGAGAUAACUGGAAGUCAUUCAGUGUGCUUAGAACAGAGGAGUGCAUAAGGAAGAAAAUCAGAAUGUGAUUUAAAGAAGUGGAGUUGACUCAGAAAAUUCAGGGUGUUCUUUCUGUGAGUAUUUGGGGCAAAAUUUUGUUAUGAGACCCCUUCCAAUCACCUUCUAUUCAUCAAGCUGUAAGUAUAUAGCACUUAUUAUAUUCUGCUUUGUAUUGAAGGUACAGUUAGCUCUUUGUUGAUUCAUUUUUUUUACAUGCCUGCCAACACUGUCAUCCCUCCUGUGAUGCAUGGACCCAGCCUAAGUUAGGGAAUAGCUCUCUGGUGUACAGUAAUCUUUCAAUCCUAACCCAUGACCUACGAACAUUCCCACAGUUUCACAAAAUCUGGGGGUAUCAUGGGCCUACCAUUUUCUUUCACUCUCAUUUCUGAUUUUGAUUAACUCUUUUCACAUAAGCCACCAUUUCUCAUGGCAGUGCAUUUGCUUUGUUACUUCUUUUAAUCUUUCUGAACGUUGACACUCAGAGAAAGGAAAUUAAAUCCCUAACUAGCACAGUAUAUAGCAGAACAUUACUUAGUCU